Molecule: unclassified non-coding RNA, 223 nt
Filed under: Hevea brasiliensis (rubber tree)
Lineage: Eukaryota; Viridiplantae; Streptophyta; Magnoliopsida; Malpighiales; Euphorbiaceae
Source: RNAcentral
UGAGAAUGCAAUCUUGAGUGGAGGAAGACCUGGUCCACAUCUGAUACAAGGAAUUGGCCCUGGUAUCAUUGCCAGCGUUAUGGAUGUUGAACUGCUGGACGAAAUUGUUCAUGUAUCAAGUGAGGAAGCCAUUGAAACAACUAAGCAGCUUGCCUUGAAAGAAGGUUUGUUGGUCGGAAUAUCUUCCGGUGCUGCAGCCGCUGCUGCAAUAAAAUUGGCAAAG